AGUGGAUGGGGAGCAACAAAAGUUGUGUGUGUGUAAAGGUAGUGCCAAGAAAAGCUGAGUUGAUGUUGAACAAAAGAUUCCGGUACCCGAAACCGACACAGGUAGGCAAGUAGAGAAUACUAAGGGGCGCGAGGUAACUCUCUCCAAGGAACUCGGCAAAAUGACCCCGUAACUUCGGGCGAAGGGGUGCCACCGAGAGGUGGUCGCAGUGAAGAGUCCCAGGCGACUGUUUAGCAAAAACAUAGGUCUCUGCAAACUCGAAAGAGGAGGUAUAGGGGCUGACGCCUGCCCAGUGCCGGAAGGUUAAAGAAGUUGGUCAGUCGAAAGAUGAAGCUAACGACUGAAGCCCCGGUGAACGGCGGCCGUAACUAUAACGGUCCUAAGGUAGCGAAAUUCCUUGUCGGGUAAGUUCCGACCCGCACGAAAGGCGUAACGAUCUGGGAGCUGUCUCGGAGAGAGGCUCGGCGAAAUAGGAUUGUCUGUGAAGAUACGGACUACCUGCAUUUGGACAGAAAGACCCUAUGAAGCUUUACUGUAGCUUGGAAUUGUGUUCGGGCUUGCUGUGCGCAGGAUAGGUGGGAGGCUAUGAAGGUAUGCUUGUGGGUGUACUGGAGCCGUCAGUGAGAUACCACUCUCAGGGGGCUAGAAUUCUAACUAAAGAAAGGACAGUUUCAGGUGGGCAGUUUGACUGGGGCGGUCGCCUCCAAAAAGGUAACGGAGGCGUACAAAGGUUCCUUCAGACUGGUUGGAAGUCAGUCGCAGAGUGCAAAGGCAGAAAGGAGCUUGACUGCGAGAAUUACAGUUCGAGCAGGGUGGAAACACGGUCUUAGUGAUCCGACGGUGCUGUGUGGAAGGGCCGUCGCUCAACGGAUAAAAGUUACUCUAGGAUAACAGGCUGAUCUCCCCCAAGAGUUCACAUCGACGGGGAGGUUUGGCACCUCGAUGUCGGCUCAUCGCAACCUGGGGCGGAAGUACGUCCCAAGGGUUGGGCUGUUCGCCCAUUAAAGCGGUACGAGAGCUGGGUUCAGAACGUCGUGAGACAGUUCGGUCCAUAUCCGAUGUAGGCGAGAGAAUAUUGAGAGAAGCCUUCCUUAGUACGAGAGGACCGGGAAGGACGCACCGCUGGUGUACCUGUUAUGAUGCCAAUUGUAAACGCAGGGUAGCCAAGUGCGGAGAGGAUAACCGCUGAAAGCAUCUAAGUGGGAAGCCCACCUCAAGAUGAGUAUUCUGUGUUAAGGUCACGGGAAGACGACCCGUAAAUAGGCACGAGGUGGAAGUACAGUAACGUAUGAAGCCGAAGUGUACUAAUAGACCGUCAGC
This 1320-nucleotide ribosomal RNA is filed under the name metagenome. Its description in RNAcentral is "bacterial LSU rRNA". It matches the Rfam family "Bacterial large subunit ribosomal RNA", at positions 1561 to 2925 of the family's 2925-position model. The record is from RNAcentral.